RNAcentral lists this unclassified non-coding RNA (331 nucleotides) under soil metagenome. RNAcentral's name for it is "partial contains 5.8S ribosomal RNA, internal transcribed spacer 2, and large subunit ribosomal RNA". The stretch from base 1 to 120 matches the Rfam family "5.8S ribosomal RNA", at positions 35 to 154 of the family's 154-position model. The record is from RNAcentral.
GAUGAAGAACGUAGUGAAAUGCGAUAAGUAAUGUGAAUUGCAGAAUUCAGUGAAUCAUCGAAUCUUUGAACGCACAUUGCGCCCCCUGGUAUUCCGGGGGGCAUGCCUGUUCGAGGGUCAUUUCACCACUCAAGCCUCGCUUGGUAUUGGGCAACGCGGUCCGCCGCGUGCCUCAAAUCGACCGGCUGGGUCUUCUGUCCCCUAAGCGUUGUGGAAACUAUUCGCUAAAGGGUGCUCGGGAGGCUACGCCGUAAAACAAACCCAUUUCUAAGGUUGACCUCGGAUCAGGUAGGGAUACCCGCUGAACUUAAGCAUAUCAAUAAGCGGAGGA